RNAcentral lists this ribosomal RNA (433 nucleotides) under uncultured bacterium. Its description in RNAcentral is "partial 16S ribosomal RNA". It matches the Rfam family "Bacterial small subunit ribosomal RNA", at positions 29 to 507 of the family's 1533-position model. The record is from RNAcentral.
AGCGAACGCUGGCGGCAGGCUUAACACAUGCAAGUCGAGCGGACCUUUCGGGGUCAGCGGCGGACGGGUGAGUAACGCGUGGGAACGUGCCUUCCGGUUCGGAAUAACCCUGGGAAACUAGGGCUAAUACCGGAUACGCCCUUAUGGGGAAAGGUUUACUGACGGAAGAUCGGCCCGCGUCUGAUUAGCUAGUUGGUGGGGUAACGGCCUACCAAGGCGACGAUCAGUAGCUGGUCAGAGAGGAUGAUCAGCCACACUGGGACUGAGACACGGCCCAGAAUACUACGGGAGGGAGCAGUGGGGAAUAUUGGACAAUGGGCGGAAGCCUGAUCCAGCCAUGCCGCGUGAGUGCUGAAGGUCUUAGGGUUGUAAAGCUCUUUUAUCCGGGACGAUAAUGACGGUACCGGAGGAAUAAGCCCCGGCUAACUUCGUG